GAUGAACGCUAGCUACAGGCUUAACACAUGCAAGUCGAGGGGAAACGACAUCGAAAGCUUGCUUUUGAUGGGCGUCGACCGGCGCACGGGUGAGUAACGCGUAUCCAACCUGCCCAUCACUUGGGAAUAACCUUGCGAAAGUAAGACUAAUACCCAAUGAUAUCCCACGAAGGCAUCGGAAUGGGAUUAAAGAUUUAUCGGUGAUGGAUGGGGAUGCGUCUGAUUAGCUUGUUGGCGGGGUAACGGCCCACCAAGGCAACGAUCAGUAGGGGUUCUGAGAGGAAGGUCCCCCACAUUGGAACUGAGACACGGUCCAAACUCCUACGGGAGGCAGCAGUGAGGAAUAUUGGUCAAUGGGCGAGAGCCUGAACCAGCCAAGUAGCGUGCAGGAAGACGGCCCCAUGGGUUGUAAACUGCUUUUAGAAGGGAAUAAAGUGGGUCACGUGUGACUUUUUGCAUGUACCUUAUGAAUAAGGACCGGCUAAUUCCGUG
This 492-nucleotide ribosomal RNA is filed under the name uncultured bacterium. RNAcentral's name for it is "partial 16S ribosomal RNA". It matches the Rfam family "Bacterial small subunit ribosomal RNA", at positions 28 to 507 of the family's 1533-position model. The record is from RNAcentral.